This 460-nucleotide ribosomal RNA is filed under the name uncultured bacterium. RNAcentral's name for it is "partial 16S ribosomal RNA". It matches the Rfam family "Bacterial small subunit ribosomal RNA", at positions 338 to 795 of the family's 1533-position model. The record is from RNAcentral.
CCUACGGGCGGCAGCAGUGAGGAAUAUUGGUCAAUGGGCGCGAGCCUGAACCAGCCAAGUAGCGUGAAGGAUGACUGCCCUACGGGUUGUAAACUUCUUUUAUAAAGGAAUAAAGUGAGGCACGUGUGCCUUUUUGUAUGUACUUUAUGAAUAAGGAUCGGCUAACUCCGUGCCAGUAGCCGCGGUAAUACGGAGGAUCCGAGCGUUAUCCGGAUUUAUUGGGUUUAAAGGGAGCGUAGAUGGGUUGUUAAGUCAGUUGUGAAAGGUUGCGGCUCAACCGUGAAAUUGCAAUUGAUACUGGUAGUCUUGAGUACAGUUGAGGUAGGCGGAAUGUGUGGUGUAGCGGUGAAAUGCUUAGAGAUCACGAAGAACUCCGAUUGCGAAGGCAGCUUACCAAACUGCCACUGACAUUGAGGCACGAAAGUGUGGGUAUCAAACAGGAUUAGAUACCCCUGUAGUC